This 71-nucleotide transfer RNA is filed under the name Merluccius polli (Benguela hake). It matches the Rfam family "tRNA". From Rfam's summary of the family: Transfer RNA (tRNA) molecules are approximately 80 nucleotides in length. Their secondary structure includes four short double-helical elements and three loops (D, anti-codon, and T loops). Lineage: Eukaryota; Metazoa; Chordata; Actinopteri; Gadiformes; Merlucciidae. The record is from Rfam by way of RNAcentral.
UCCUCGUUAGUAUAGUGUCAGUAUCCCCGCCUGUCACGCGGGAGACCGGGGUUCAAUUCCCCGACGGGGAG